GGCGCCAGCGGAUAUCCAGGGCGCCGGUGACGCAAAGUAGGCCCGGCGCGCCGGGUGACAGAUGGCGGCGAAAACGAAGCCGAACACCAGGAACACGGAAUAGUACUUUCCGAGGAUCGCCAGAGCACCGGCCAGCCCCGCUGCCACGGCCCAGCCGGGGCCCAGCCGGCAUGCCGCGUCUCAAACGACCGCAGGAAGCAAUAGAUCGCAAGCGGCCAGACUGCGAACAACACCGAGUUCGCAUUGAAGCGCUGCGCCUGGAAUUGAUAGACCGGCAGCAGCAUGAGCAGCAGCAGGACGAUCGCGCGCUUGUCGCCUUUUGCAAACCGGCGUGUCGNNNNNNNUGAUCCAGAGCGCAACGGCGGAAUUUGUCAUCGCCAGAAGGUGAAACGACCAAUCGCGGAC
This 405-nucleotide unclassified non-coding RNA is filed under the name Hevea brasiliensis (rubber tree). Lineage: Eukaryota; Viridiplantae; Streptophyta; Magnoliopsida; Malpighiales; Euphorbiaceae. The record is from RNAcentral.